Pelobates cultripes (western spadefoot toad) is the source of this 473-nucleotide non-coding RNA. The record is from the annotation of a GenBank genome assembly. NCBI's taxonomy places the organism in Eukaryota, Metazoa, Chordata, Amphibia, Anura, Pelobatidae.
CUGAUCCCGCCCGCCGGCUGAGGAAACCUAAUGCGCAUGCGCGGCAAUGCUGCGCACGCGCAUUAGAGCUCUCCAUAGGAAAGCAUUGAAAAAAAAUUUCAAUGCUUUCCUAUGGGGAAUUGAGCAACAAUGGAGGUCCUCACAUAGCGUGAGGACGUCCAGCGACGCUCUAGCACAGGUUUCCUGUGCUAUGGACAUGGAAGUGCCCUCUAGUGGCUGUCUUGACAGCCACUAGGGGAGGACUUAACCCUGCAAGGUAACUAUUGCAGUUUAUAAAAAAGUGGGAGUUGGCACGCAGACCACUCCAAUGGGCAGAAGUGGUCUGGGUGCCUGGAGUGUCCCUUUAACAGGUUGUGUGACUGUUAGCCAGAAUGGACAGCCAGGUUAAAAAUAAAAUAAAUACAUUUUUUAAAAAGUGCCAAUUUCUGUUCAAAUCUGCACUUUGUAAAAUAAAAGAGGACAGACAAUUCAGC